ACCGAAUAGGGGAGCCGAAGGGAAACCGAGUCUUAACUGGGCGUUAAGUUGCAGGGUAUAGACCCGAAACCCGGUGAUCUAGCCAUGGGCAGGUUGAAGGUUGGGUAACACUAACUGGAGGACCGAACCGACUAAUGUUGAAAAAUUAGCGGAUGACUUGUGGCUGGGGGUGAAAGGCCAAUCAAACCGGGAGAUAGCUGGUUCUCCCCGAAAGCUAUUUAGGUAGCGCCUCGUGAAUUCAUCUCCGGGGGUAGAGCACUGUUUCGGCAAGGGGGUCAUCCCGACUUACCAACCCGAUGCAAACUGCGAAUACCGGAGAAUGUUAUCACGGGAGACACACGGCGGGUGCUAACGUCCGUCGUGAAGAGGGAAACAACCCAGACCGCCAGCUAAGGUCCCAAAGUCAUGGUUAAGUGGGAAACGAUGUGGGAAGGCCCAGACAGCCAGGAUGUUGGCUUAGAAGCAGCCAUCAUUUAAAGAAAGCGUAAUAGCUCACUGGUCGAGUCGGCCUGCGCGGAAGAUGUAACGGGGCUAAACCAUGCACCGAAGCUGCGGCAGCGACACUAUGUGUUGUUGGGUAGGGGAGCGUUCUGUAAGCCUGUGAAGGUGUACUGUGAGGUAUGCUGGAGGUAUCAGAAGUGCGAAUGCUGACAUAAGUAACGAUAAAGCGGGUGAAAAGCCCGCUCGCCGGAAGACCAAGGGUUCCUGUCCAACGUUAAUCGGGGCAGGGUGAGUCGACCCCUAAGGCGAGGCCGAAAGGCGUAGUCGAUGGGAAACAGGUUAAUAUUCCUGUACUUGGUGUUACUGCGAAGGGGGGACGGAGAAGGCUAUGUUGGCCGGGCGACGGUUGUCCCGGUUUAAGCGUGUAGGCUGGUUUUCCAGGCAAAUCCGGAAAAUCAAGGCUGAGGCGUGAUGACGAGGCACUACGGUGCUGAAGCAACAAAUGCCCUGCUUCCAGGAAAAGCCUCUAAGCAUCAGGUAACAUCAAAUCGUACCCCAAACCGACACAGGUGGUCAGGUAGAGAAUACCAAGGCGCUUGAGAGAACUCGGGUGAAGGAACUAGGCAAAAUGGUGCCGUAACUUCGGGAGAAGGCACGCUGAUAUGUAGGUGAAGUCCCUCGCGGAUGGAGCUGAAAUCAGUCGAAGAUACCAGCUGGCUGCAACUGUUUAUUAAAAACACAGCACUGUGCAAACACGAAAGUGGACGUAUACGGUGUGACGCCUGCCCGGUGC
RNAcentral lists this ribosomal RNA (1234 nucleotides) under Escherichia coli. RNAcentral's name for it is "partial 23S ribosomal RNA". It matches the Rfam family "Bacterial large subunit ribosomal RNA", at positions 649 to 1869 of the family's 2925-position model. The record is from RNAcentral. Lineage: Bacteria; Pseudomonadati; Pseudomonadota; Gammaproteobacteria; Enterobacterales; Enterobacteriaceae.